GUUAUGCUAAGACGAUAACACACUGGCUAGUUUUUACUUUUUAAAAAUGCUCUGCAUAAAACAAUAAGUGUGGCUGCCUUGUUCCAUUUUCCUCUCUCUUUUCUAGCAAGGCUCCUGUGCUGCUGCUGUUGUUGCGCGUCUGUGCAUGAUUUUCUUGGGUUGCAAAAAUAUGUGCAUUGACUCUAUUUUCAGGUCGUAAAGUCUCUUCUACAAAUCAUUAAUAUUGUGCACAGUAGAAGGCUGAGGGGCAUCGUAGGAAGAAAAUUAAACAAGGGAGCUUGCCACCCACUCCCUGCACACCUUAAUGUGGAUCAUAACCUGAUGAAUUUCUACCUGGCAUAUGCCAGUUAAAGGCACAGCAUCCCUGCCAGCAAAGAAAGUGGCAACUUUAUCAGUUUGAAAGCAUACUCCCCUGUCAGCAAAACUGGUGCGAAAAAGGAUAAUCUGAACGACUUUCCUUUUUGGGGAGAAGGGAGAACUUAAUACCAGCCACCCUUGUAACAACUCAACAGCUUGGUGCAACAGCCUGCAGCUUCAGCUCCAGGCAGCUGGGGAAUAGACACUCUCACUCUUUCUCAGCAUCCCAUCGCUUGUACUUAAACAUCUUUAUUAAUGGCUUGAAGGAGAUCUUCCAAUUUCUCCCACUCUCUUCGAAGUGACCAGUGCAAUUUCAAAAGCUCUCUGAUUUUCUCCAGGCUUUAAAAGAAAAACAACUCAACGCUUGCUCUCA
Molecule: long non-coding RNA, 730 nt
Organism: Podarcis raffonei (Aeolian wall lizard)
Lineage: Eukaryota; Metazoa; Chordata; Lepidosauria; Squamata; Lacertidae
Exons: 3
Source: RefSeq, a predicted model, not a curated record